RNAcentral lists this transfer RNA (71 nucleotides) under Marmota monax (woodchuck). RNAcentral describes it as "tRNA.Val". The record is from RNAcentral. Lineage: Eukaryota; Metazoa; Chordata; Mammalia; Rodentia; Sciuridae.
GGGGUUGUGGCUCAGUGGCAGAGAGCUUGCCUCACAUGUAUGAGGCACUGGGUUUGAUCCUCAGCACCACA